Molecule: ribosomal RNA, 207 nt
Filed under: uncultured bacterium
Lineage: Bacteria
Description: partial 16S ribosomal RNA
Rfam family: Bacterial small subunit ribosomal RNA
Source: RNAcentral
GGCGCAGGCGGACAGGUCAGUGGAAAGUGGAAUCCCGGGGCUCAACCCCGGAAAGCCUUUCCAUACUGCCUGUCUUGAGUACGUGAGAGGAGAGCGGAAUUCAGGGUGUAGCGGUGAAAUGCUUAGAUAUCCUGAGGAACACCGAUGGCGAAAGCAGCUCUCUGGCACGCUACUGACGCUGAGGCCCGAAAGCGUGGGAAGCGAACG